GUCCGUCGAUGCGCGCAGCCUGAUCGGCCGUUCCGCGUGAGUGAAGAAGGCCUUCGGGUUGUAAAGCUCUUUCGCAAGGGAAGAAAACUUACAUUCUAAUAAAGUGUGAGGCUGACGGUACCUUGAUAAGAAGCACCGGCUAACUACGUGCCAGCAGCCGCGGUAAUACGUAGGGUGCGAGCGUUAAUCGGAAUUACUGGGCGUAAAGCGUGCGCAGGCGGUUUUGUAAGUCAGAUGUGAAAUCCCCGAGCUCAACUUGGGAACUGCGUUUGAAACUACAAGACUAGAAUAUGUCAGAGGGGGGUAGAAUUCCACGUGUAGCAGUGAAAUGCGUAGAGAUGUGGAGGAAUACCAAUGGCGAAGGCAGCCCCCUGGGAUAAUAUUGACGCUCAUGCACGAAAGCGUGGGGAGCAAACAGGAUUAGAUACCCUGGUAGUCCACGCCCUAAACGAUGUCUACUAGUUGUUGGUGGAGUAAAAUCCAUGAGUAACGCAGCUAACGCGUGAAGUAGACCGCCUGGGGAGUACGGUCGCAAGAUUAAAACUCAAAUGAAUUGACGG
RNAcentral lists this ribosomal RNA (560 nucleotides) under uncultured beta proteobacterium. RNAcentral describes it as "bacterial SSU rRNA". It matches the Rfam family "Bacterial small subunit ribosomal RNA", at positions 359 to 916 of the family's 1533-position model. Lineage: Bacteria; Pseudomonadati; Pseudomonadota; Betaproteobacteria. The record is from RNAcentral.